This 4384-nucleotide long non-coding RNA is filed under the name Salmo salar (Atlantic salmon). RNAcentral's name for it is "lncRNA (ENSSSAG00000099072.1)". Lineage: Eukaryota; Metazoa; Chordata; Actinopteri; Salmoniformes; Salmonidae. The record is from RNAcentral.
CUAUAAUAGACAUACACCCAGUGGCCAGUUUAUUAGGUACACCACCCCCUUCAUGAAAAUGGUUCACUCUGAGAGACAGUGAGUCACGUGGCCAAAGCUUGCUAUACAAAGCAGGCAGACAGGCAUCGAAGCAUUCAGUUACUGUUUGAAUCAAAAGUUAGAAUGAGCAAAACUAGUGACGUAAGCGACUUUGAGCGUGGUAUGAUCGUCAGUUCCAGGCACGCUGGUUCCACGACAGUGUCUAAGGUUUACUGAGAAUGAUGCGACAAACAAAAAACCAAUCUGCGGCAGUCCUGUGAGCGAAAAACAGCUUGUUGAUGAGAGGUCGAAGGAGAAUGACAAGAAUCGUGCAAGCUAACAGGCAGGCCACAAACGGCAAAGUUCAACAGUGGUGUGCAGAACGGCAUCUCGAAAUGCACAACUCAUCGGUCUUCGUCAUGGAUGGGCUAUUGCAGCAGACGACCACACUGGGUUCCACUCCUAUCAGCUAAAAGCAAGAAGAAGCGGAACCAAAACUGGACAACUGAGGUGUGGAAAAACAUCCCCAUUCUGCUUGGUGUCAACGAUACAGGCUAGUGGCAGUGGUGUAAUUGUGUGGGGAAUGUUUUGAUACUAAUUGAGCAACAUUUCCAUGCCCCAAAGAAUUCAGGAUGUUCUGGAGGCAAAGGGGGGUCCGAUCCGGUACUAGAUAGGUGUACCUAAUAAACUGGCCACUGCAUGUAGCUGGCAGUUCUCAUUCAAGUCAAGACUGGCAGACAUUGAAGGGUUCCAAAACCCUUCAAUGGAUGAUAUGUCUAUGGCCACAACGCAACGAGCUGUUCUACAGAGAGUAGUGGGAAAAAGGUGCAUUGAUAAGCACACCAAAGACGGUAUUAAAGAUAAGUAAUAAAAUAAACACGACAAUUAUAAAAGCCUAUUUCACACCAUGCUGAAUUUGCAAGAUAACUGUUGUUUGAUUUUGGGACAAAUGAAAAUAUGUCACUGACUCGCCCAUGGAUUAAUGUUUAAGCAUUGUCUCAAUGAAAAGUUUGGCGUUCGACUAGCCAUGAGCGACAUGCACGCACAAUUACAAGCCUGCUAGAGUUAGCGGCAGGCGGACAAGAAAUAUUCUCUGUGUAGUAUGGAUGAAGCCUGACCUGGCCCCCCCAACCAAGCGGCCCCCCUAUUGACAGAGGAGAGAAAAUGUUUCGUUUUAAAAUGUAUUUCAUGCAAUUCUACACAUUUUGCCAUGGGGCGGAGAGAAAUUGUAGAAAUGUCAUAACAAAUUUCAUGCAAUUCUACUUAUUUUGCCAUGGGGCAGAGAUACAUUUUUGCAGUUUAAAGCUAAUUUCCUGCAAUUCUACAUAUUUUGCCAUGAUUUAUGCCAUAUCAAUGAUAUUUGUGUGAGAGUGACCAACAAAAUCAAAUGGGGGCCCACUGGAGGUCAGGGCUCCUGGGUAUGUGUCCUGAGUGCCUGGUCGGUAUUUAGGUAACUGGCUAGACUAAUAUACCAAUCUAAAAAUGGUUAGCUGAAGUGGCUAAUUGAGUGACUGUCAGUGACUGACUAAACAAGAGAACACCUGCUGAUGCACAGCUACAUUUCUAACAUACACCUUGUAUUCUACUAUUCUAACUCUCAACAGUAAAUUGAGACCCUGACCGCUUAUGUCAUUUAUGCCUAGAGCCAGUCCUGCUGACCUGGAAUGUGAAGCUAACUGAAGCUGGCUAGCUUUCUAAAAGCCUGAGUAGAUGUAGCUUGAUUCGUAGUAUACCACUCAGGUUCUUUACUGUCCAGAUGAGCAUUCAAUGAGCUUUAUGUUCCAAAUCGGAAUCCUUGCUCACUCAUGAGCUUGAAUGGCCUGUAUUCUCCAGUUGUCUCCAAAUAAAACAGAAAUAUAUGGAUAAUAAAACUUGAAUCACCCAUAUAUUCGUUUAAUUCCUUUAUAUAUUUUCUCUUGCUGUGUUUUAUUCAUCCCCAAGGUGGUGAUGUUAAUGAGAAUAAGAAAAGAAGAGUUAAAUAAAUAAAUCUAUUCAUGUAUCCACCUUCUGUUUUGUCUGCUCUUCCCUCCAGGCCCAACAAGUGGCACUAUGACAGGUCGUCCUGCCAGUAUGGGUGUGGUCAGAUCAUUGGGGGUAGUUACUACAUGUCAGCUGACGUCAGUCAGUUUGAACCACAGGACAUUGUGGUGAUGGACUACAACCACAACAUAGUCAUCCACGCUGAAAAGGUGUUGGAGAAUGGGAGUGUCAGUGAUACGUUUACCCAUAAGACCCUGCUCUUGGAGCACAUGGACCCCCUGUCGGUCAGUGGCACGCUGACCCGAGGGCAUGCUGGUGGCCAGAGUCAGGAGGACGUCCAGUAUGGAGCUUCUCGCUCUUUGGAGCACGCGCACACGUACAUGCACACAGAGUAUCAGACCGGUCUGAGUAAGUCACACCGAGUUUAGUUUGCUCAGGGAAACUUUCUUCAUAGAGCCGUCUGCACUUUUUUAGCAGCAAUUUAAUCUAUCUGCCUGUCUGAAUAUGAGUCACAGUUAAAAUAUCCCCCCCUUGUAUCCUUCUCACUCUCUGUCGAGCUGGGGAGGAGGACUUUUACUGUGACACCUUAGUGUAUUAUUAAUCAAUAUGAAGUCCACAUUGCCUGGGACAGGAGACGAAACUCAGUGGUUGUGUUGAGAACGUGUACAGCAGUUCAAGCAAGGAAUGGCACCGGCACCACCAACUCCAUCAAUGACUAGCACCUCCACCUCCAUCAAGGACUAGCAACGGCACCACCACCUCCAGCAAGGACUAGCACCACCACCUCCAUCAAGGACUAGGACCACCACCUCCAUCAAGGACUAGCAACGGCACCUCCAUCAAGGACUAGCACCACCACCUCCAUCAAGGACUAGCACCACCAACUCCAUCAAUGACUAGCACCACCACCUCCAUCAAGGACUAGCAACGGCACCACCACCUCCAGAAAGGACUAGGACCACCACCUCUAUCAAGGACUAGCAAUGGCACCACCACCUCCAGCAAGGACUAGCAUCUCCGGCACCACAACCUCCAUCAAGGACUAGCACCACCACCUCCAUCAAGGACUAGCACCACCACCUCCAUCAAGGACUAGCACCGGCACCACAACCUCCAUCAAGGACUAGCACCACAACCUCCAUCAAGGACUAGCAUCGGCACCUCCAAGGACUAGCAGCUCCGGCACCACCACCACCAUCAAGGACUAGCACCACCACCUGCAUCAAGGACUAGGACCACCACCUCCAUCAAGGACUAGGACCACCACCUGCAUCAAGGACUAGCACCACCACCUCCAUCAAGGACUAGCACCACCACCUGCAUCAAGGACUAGCACCACCACCUCCAUCAAGAACUAGCACCACCACCUCCAUCAAAGACUAGCACCACCACCUCCAUCAUGGACUAGCACCGGCACCUCCAUCAAGGACUAGCAGCUCCGGCACCACCACCUCCAUCAAGGACUAGCACCACCACCUCCAUCAUGGACUAGCACCGGCACCUCCAUCAAGGACUAGCACCGGCACCUCCAUCAAGGACUAGCAUCGGCACCUCCAUCAAGGACUAGCAGCUCCGGCACCACCACCUCCAUCAAGGACUAGCACCACCACCUCCAUCAAGGACUAGCACCGGCACCUCCAUCAAGGAUUAGCACCACCACCUCCAUCAAGGACUAGCACCGGCACCACAAACUCCAUCAAGGACUAGCACCACCACCUCCAUCAAGGACUAGCACCACCACCUCCAUCAAGGACUAGCACCACCACCUCCAUCAAGGACUAGCACCGGCACCACCACCUCCAGCAAGGACUAGGACCACCACCUCCAUCAAGGACUAUCACCGGCACCACCACCUCCAGCAAGGACUAGCACCACCACCUCCAUCAAGGACUAGCACCGCCACCUCCAUCAAGGACUAGCACCACCACCUCCAUCAAGGACUAGCACCGCCACCUCCAUCAAGGACUAGCACCACCACCUCCAUCAAGGACUAGCACCACCACCUCCAAGGACUAGCAGCUCCGGCACCACAACCUCCAUCAAGGAUCAGUGGUGUAAAGUACUUAAGACUAGCACCAGCUAGCACCGGCACCACCACCUCCAUCAAGGACUAGCACCCGCUAGCACCGGCACUACCAUCUCCAUCAAGGACUAGCUCCGGCACCUCCAUCAAGGACUAGCACCGGCACCACCACCUCCAUCAAGGACUAGCUCCGGCACCUCCAUCAAGGACUAGCACCGGCACCACCACCUCCAUCAAGGACUAGUCCCGGCACCUCCAUCAAGGACUAGCACCGGCACCACCACCUCCAUCAAGGACUCGCUCCGGCACCUCCAUCAAUGACUAGCAUUGGCACUAACACCUCCAUCAAACAAUACAAACUGC